RNAcentral lists this ribosomal RNA (520 nucleotides) under uncultured bacterium. Its description in RNAcentral is "bacterial SSU rRNA". It matches the Rfam family "Bacterial small subunit ribosomal RNA", at positions 28 to 526 of the family's 1533-position model. The record is from RNAcentral.
GAUGAACGCUGGCGGCGCAUUUAAGACAUGCAAGUCGAACGAAGAAUUUACACCGAAUGAAAGAUGAAGAUUCAUCAGAUUCUGGAUUUCACCGUAAAUUCUUAGUGGCGGACGGGUGAGUAAUACGUAGAUAAUCUGCCUUCUAGAGGGAAAUAACAGAGAGAAAUUUCUGCUAAUGUCCCAUAAGACCACACUAUGGCAUCUUAGAGUGAUCAAAGGAGCAAUCCGCUAGAAGAUGAGUCUACGGCUGAUUAGCCAGUUGGCAGUGUAAUGGACUACCAAAGCUAUGAUCAGUAGCCGAGCUGAGAGGCUGGCCGGCCACAUUGGGACUGAGACACGGCCCAGACUCCUACGGGAGGCAGCAGUUGGGAAUAUUGGACAAUGGAGGAAACUCUGAUCCAGUGACGCCGCGUGAAGGAAGAAGGUCUUCGGAUUGUAAACUUAUUUUGUCAGGGAAGAAUUUUGACUGUACCUGAAGAAAAAGCACCGGCUAACUACGUGCCAGCAGCCGCCGUAAAAC